AACUUGAAAUGGUUGAGUAAAUACAAAUGUACUUUCCAAGCAGAUAGGUACUUGAAGUCACAACUCCCAAAACAUCUUAGGGAGAUAUUCAUGAGAGUGAGAUUUGAACAGCUUGAUACAAUGGUUAGAUACAGGAGAUUUCAUGCAAUACCGUACAAUGAGCGUCUCUGCAUUUGCAGAAUGGCA
Pseudonaja textilis is the source of this 186-nucleotide non-coding RNA. The record is from RefSeq and is a predicted model, not a curated record. NCBI's taxonomy places the organism in Eukaryota, Metazoa, Chordata, Lepidosauria, Squamata, Elapidae.